CCUACGGGGGGCUGCAGUGGGGAAUAUUGGACAAUGGGGGGAACCCUGAUCCAGCCAUGCCGCGUGUGUGAAGAAGGCCCUCGGGUUGUAAAGCACUUUCAGUGAGGAAGAACGCCUGGUGGUUAAUACCCAUCAGGAAAGACAUCACUCACAGAAGAAGCACCGGCUAACUCCGUGCCAGCAGCCGCGGUAAUACGGAGGGUGCGAGCGUUAAUCGGAAUUACUGGGCGUAAAGCGCGCGUAGGUGGCUUGAUAAGCCGGUUGUGAAAGCCCCGGGCUCAACCUGGGAACGGCAUCCGGAACUGUCAAGCUAGAGUGCAGGAGAGGAAGGUAGAAUUCCCGGUGUAGCGGUGAAAUGCGUAGAGAUCGGGAGGAAUACCAGUGGCGAAGGCGGCUUUCUGGACUGACACUGACACUGAGGUGCGAAAGCGUGGGUAGCAAACAGGAUUAGAUACCCGGGUAGUC
This 465-nucleotide ribosomal RNA is filed under the name Vreelandella stevensii. RNAcentral describes it as "partial 16S ribosomal RNA". It matches the Rfam family "Bacterial small subunit ribosomal RNA", at positions 338 to 795 of the family's 1533-position model. Lineage: Bacteria; Pseudomonadati; Pseudomonadota; Gammaproteobacteria; Oceanospirillales; Halomonadaceae. The record is from RNAcentral.